GAUCAGCUGAUGAAAAAGGC
Molecule: unclassified non-coding RNA, 20 nt
Filed under: Mus musculus (house mouse)
Lineage: Eukaryota; Metazoa; Chordata; Mammalia; Rodentia; Muridae
Description: oocyte_clustered_small_RNA2325
Source: RNAcentral